CCCCUAGACGUUCUGGGCUGCACGCGCGCUACAAUAAUACGCACAGCGAGUAUCACCGAGCUCGAAAGGGCAAGGUAAACAAUAGAAAAGGUACUGUAAUGGUUAUAGAUCCUUGUAAUUAUUGAUCUUCAACGAGGAAUUCCUAGUAAGUAUGUGUCAUCAUCACGCACUGAUUACGUCCCUGCCCUUUGUACACGCCGCCCGUCGCUCCUACCGAUUGGGUGAGCCGAUGAAACUCUCGGAUGUAGGCUAUUCAUAGCCCGCAGAAGAGAUUUGAAUCGUAGCGCUUAGAGGAAGGAGAAGUCGUAACA
This 311-nucleotide ribosomal RNA is filed under the name uncultured eukaryote. RNAcentral describes it as "partial 18S ribosomal RNA". It matches the Rfam family "Eukaryotic small subunit ribosomal RNA", at positions 1470 to 1796 of the family's 1831-position model. The record is from RNAcentral.